AACGAACGCUGGCGGCAUGCCUAACACAUGCAAGUCGAACGAGACCUUCGGGUCUAGUGGCGCACGGGUGCGUAACGCGUGGGAACCUGCCCUUAGGUUCGGAAUAACUCUCCGAAAGGGGUGCUAAUACCGGAUAAUGUCUUCGGACCAAAGAUUUAUCGCCUUUGGAUGGGCCCGCGUUGGAUUAGCUAGUUGGUAGGGUAAAAGCCUACCAAGGCGACGAUCCAUAGCUGGUCUGAGAGGAUGAUCAGCCACACUGGGACUGUGACACGGCCCAGACUCCUGCGGGAGGCAGCAGUGGGGAAUAUUGGACAAUGGGCGAAAGCCUGAUCCAGCAAUGCCGCGUGAGUGAUGAAGGCCUUAGGGUUGUAAAGCUCUUUUACCCGGGAUGAUAAUGACAGUACCGGGAGAAUAAGCUCCGGCUAACUCCGUG
This 433-nucleotide ribosomal RNA is filed under the name uncultured bacterium. Its description in RNAcentral is "partial 16S ribosomal RNA". It matches the Rfam family "Bacterial small subunit ribosomal RNA", at positions 29 to 507 of the family's 1533-position model. The record is from RNAcentral.